UGUGGGAGCUGGCUUGCCUGCGAUGGCGGUGUGUCAGCCAACUUAUGUGUGGCUGACACACCGCCAUCGCAGGCAAGCCAGCUCCCACA
This 89-nucleotide unclassified non-coding RNA is filed under the name Pseudomonas cedrina. Lineage: Bacteria; Pseudomonadati; Pseudomonadota; Gammaproteobacteria; Pseudomonadales; Pseudomonadaceae. The record is from RNAcentral.